GAGCCAGACUCCUACGGGAGGCAGCAGUGGGGAAUAUUGCACAAUGGGGGAAACCCUGAUGCAGCGACGCCGCGUGAGCGAUGAAGUAUUUCGGUAUGUAAAGCUCUAUCAGCAGGGAAGAAAAUGACAGUACCUGACUAAGAAGCCCCGGCUAACUACGUGCCAGCAGCCGCGGUAAUACGUAGGGGGCAAGCGUUAUCCGGAUUUACUGGGUGUAAAGGGAGCGUAGACGGCAAUGCAAGCCAGAUGUGAAAGCCCGGGGCUCAACCCCGGGACUGCAUUUGGAACUGUGUAGCUGGAGUGUCGGAGAUGCAGGCGGAAUUCCUGGUGUAGCGGUGAAAUGCGUAGAUAUCAGGAGGAACACCGGUGGCGAAGGCGGCCUGCUGGACCGCGACUGACGUUGAGGCUCGAAAGCGUGGGGAGCGAACAGGAUUAGAUACCCUAGUA
This 447-nucleotide ribosomal RNA is filed under the name uncultured bacterium. RNAcentral describes it as "partial 16S ribosomal RNA". It matches the Rfam family "Bacterial small subunit ribosomal RNA", at positions 328 to 792 of the family's 1533-position model. The record is from RNAcentral.